GACGAACGCUGGCGGCGUGCUUAACACAUGCAAGUCGAGCGGUAAGGCCCUUUCGGGGGUACGACGAGCGGCGAACGGGUGAGUAACACGUGGGUGACCUGCCCUCAGCUCUGGGAUAAGCCUGGGAAACCGGGUCUAAUACUGGAUAUGACUCCAUGACGCAUGUUGUGGGGUGGAAAGCCUUGUGCGGCUGAGGAUGGGCCCGCGGCCUAUCAGCUUGUUGGUGGGGUGAUGGCCUACCAAGGCGACGACGGGUAGCCGGCCUGAGAGGGCGGCCGGCCACACUGGGACUGAGACACGGCCCAGACUCCUACGGGAGGCAGCAGUGGGGAAUCUUGCGCAAUGGGCGAAAGCCUGACGCAGCGACGCCGCGUGAGGGAUGACGGCCUGGUGUAACU
This 398-nucleotide ribosomal RNA is filed under the name uncultured bacterium. RNAcentral describes it as "bacterial SSU rRNA". It matches the Rfam family "Bacterial small subunit ribosomal RNA", at positions 28 to 430 of the family's 1533-position model. The record is from RNAcentral.